RNAcentral lists this transfer RNA (132 nucleotides) under Schleiferiaceae bacterium. Its description in RNAcentral is "tRNA-Met". The stretch from base 66 to 125 matches the Rfam family "tRNA", at positions 7 to 64 of the family's 71-position model. The record is from RNAcentral. Lineage: Bacteria; Pseudomonadati; Bacteroidota; Flavobacteriia; Flavobacteriales; Schleiferiaceae.
GGGAUAGUGGCAGAUAGUUAGUACCCCUUGAUUUUACUUAUAUUCAACGUAUGAUUGGAACUAGGAUUGUUGUAAGUAUUAGACACCUGACUCAUAAUCAGGUGGUCGCAGGUUCGAGCCCUGCUGGGCCCC